Molecule: long non-coding RNA, 1321 nt
Organism: Esox lucius (northern pike)
Lineage: Eukaryota; Metazoa; Chordata; Actinopteri; Esociformes; Esocidae
Source: Ensembl
GCACAGAAAAUCCUGUUGCCGUUACUGAAUUAAAUGAACAGUAGUACAUGGUAGUUUGGAGGUAACAGGAAGACAAGGAGUCAAAGAUGCUGUAGAGUAACGUUAGUAGAAUGAAGAAGAAAAUAUCCUGGGUCAUAUUCAUUAGGGCACACAGCAGAAAAACGUUUUGUAAAGGAAUAUUUAUAUUUCCCACAAUGUUCAGGUAAUUCCAUCCAUGUUUUCAUACAUUAUGUGCAAUAGUGAAUAUGAUCUAGAAGUGCUGUACACUGUGAAAGUCUGUCUAUGAUUUUGUAUUAUUGAUGUGUGCCACAGCUAGCCUGGUUUCCAACUGAUCUCCCUAUAUAUAGACAUUGUUGGUUUAAUUCAUUUAGUCACGGUUUACCUGGCUAAGCACUUGCUGCAACUCAUACAAACAGCCUGGAAGCUGUACUUGUUGUAAGCCUCCAAGAUAAUGUUCUGUUGUUAAUUACAAAGUAGAUAGAAGUAGCUUCUUAAGGACUAACACAGGAUCAGGAAUUCAUCAGUCAUGUACUAGUACUGGUUAGUGGCCAGGUGGGGAUGAUCUGGUGGCUGGGGGAAGUGGAGGAGCAACUGAACCAAACUCUUAAAAACUUCCAAAAUAGUAUAAUUGAGCUAUGAGCUUUGAGGAAUUUCAGCAUGUUGAAAUUGCUGAAAUCAUAAGUUCCCUUAAUAGCACCGGUUGGGAAUGGAACAAUUACAGAGAUCAAUACUUCUUUCUAAUUAUUGGGCUGGACAUCAUGAUGUAAAAUAUUCCCUUUUAGAACCAGAGUUUUCAAGCAGGUGGAGUAAGCAACAGAAUUCGUAUAAUGUCCAUUCUCAAUCCAAGCCGGAAAAGGGGUCACACUAAAUUAUAUAUCCCUACAAGAUAUCCCCCAAGCCCCUCAACUAUUAACUGUAUUAUUCUACAAGAAGAUUUUCUGACCUUUCCAACUUGUAAAAGAUACACUUUCAGUUGAAUAUGCACUUGCACUCUCAACUUCCCUGGUCUCUAAAAUGUUACAGUCACAUACUGUAAUGAUGCUGCCGCAGGUCUGUUUGGAAAAUGUGGAUGACAGCACUUCAGCAUUGUAAUUAUCAAUAAUGACCGGGGGGGGGGUUAUAAGUGAUACACACCAUAAUUUUUUUUGCAAUCGUGUUUCACCAAGCUUAUUUAGUUUGGUUAAUUUGUUUCACUCAGUAGAGACAUAUCUAUCCUAGUUUUGGAAUCUGAUUCUAUGAUAGCAGGAAGUAGCUUGAAGCGAUUAUGACAGGGACCUUGACCUUGAAUACAGUGUAUAAAAUCCUGGACUUAAACUGUUAC